ACAACUCCAGCCACUACCUUCAAAGCAAUCGACAGAGAUGUUCAAAACUUGAUCACAGCACGAAGACAUAAGUGAAUGUUUGCUACACCUGUGUCAUUAUGGAUCCGGUGAUACUGUUGAAUCCUAAAUCCGGUAAUAGAGUUUAGAAUACAGUAGUUGGUGGUUAAAGGAGAUUAAAAGGACCCAAGGUUUUGUUUAUUGAAGUGUAAGCAAAAAGCCGAACAGCGAAUACAAAGGAAGAACUCCUCGUCCUAAAGACAAACUCGUUGCUAAGUGAUUUCUCUCUAUAUUCUAGCUCUAGUCUUUCUCCGUAUUAUUUUCUCUUUCUUUUCUUCAUUGAAUGCACUCUUCUUUUAUAGGCGUUCAUUACGUGGAAGAGUUGUUGGUUUGUCAUCACUGUCUUCUGACUCGUUACAGUGAUUGGCGGAGUUGUUAGCAGUUAGGUUCAACGCCGUAGCAGGGGCUUCGACCUAUUCCUCCUUCUGACACUCGAUAGCGUAUGUCAGGUCGUCCUGACGAGUUGGUGAACCAGAUCACGCUUUCUUCCAGGGCUAUUCAUGAAUUGGCUUCGUCUUUGCGAUUGGGCUGAGUGAACUCCUGGGCCGUGAUGCUAGUGGGGGUCCAUAUCCAACAGAUACUAUCACUUGACCCUUUCUCUGUGUUCUCCUUGUUUUUCUCUUUUUGCCAAACAUUACAUAAUUAUGUAUUCACAUUUAAGCAACAAUUUUUUUUUUUUUUGUAAAUUCACGGAAAACAUAUGUUUGAUUGUUUGUUAGAUGAGUUAGGAGAAGCUGAGAUAUUAUGG
RNAcentral lists this long non-coding RNA (805 nucleotides) under Brassica napus (rape). RNAcentral describes it as "long non-coding RNA (BNAP_LNC010341)". Lineage: Eukaryota; Viridiplantae; Streptophyta; Magnoliopsida; Brassicales; Brassicaceae. The record is from RNAcentral.